RNAcentral lists this ribosomal RNA (463 nucleotides) under Bifidobacterium longum. RNAcentral's name for it is "bacterial SSU rRNA". It matches the Rfam family "Bacterial small subunit ribosomal RNA", at positions 205 to 683 of the family's 1533-position model. The record is from RNAcentral. Lineage: Bacteria; Bacillati; Actinomycetota; Actinomycetes; Bifidobacteriales; Bifidobacteriaceae.
AGCUUUCGCGGUAUGGGAUGGGGUCGCGUCCUAUCAGCUUGACGGCGGGGUAACGGCCCACCGUGGCUUCGACGGGUAGCCGGCCUGAGAGGGCGACCGGCCACAUUGGGACUGAGAUACGGCCCAGACUCCUACGGGAGGCAGCAGUGGGGAAUAUUGCACAAUGGGCGCAAGCCUGAUGCAGCGACGCCGCGUGAGGGAUGGAGGCCUUCGGGUUGUAAACCUCUUUUAUCGGGGAGCAAGCGAGAGUGAGUUUACCCGUUGAAUAAGCACCGGCUAACUACGUGCCAGCAGCCGCGGUAAUACGUAGGGUGCAAGCGUUAUCCGGAAUUAUUGGGCGUAAAGGGCUCGUAGGCGGUUCGUCGCGUCCGGUGUGAAAGUCCAUCGCUUAACGGUGGAUCCGCGCCGGGUACGGGCGGGCUUGAGUGCGGUAGGGGAGACUGGAAUUCCCGGUGUAACGGUG